This 280-nucleotide long non-coding RNA is filed under the name Elaeis guineensis (African oil palm). RNAcentral describes it as "long non-coding RNA (EGUI_LNC045901)". The record is from RNAcentral. Lineage: Eukaryota; Viridiplantae; Streptophyta; Magnoliopsida; Arecales; Arecaceae.
ACGUUAGUUAUCCUUGUAAACAAAUGGUAUGAAGAUACUAAUAUGGUAUGCAAGUGAGAUAUAGAAGUACAUCAUCACUGAAUAUGGCCAACUGUGGAAAACUCUGCUGUCAAGGGUAGCUUACGAAGGGUAUGAGUAUAAGUAUCCUUCUGACCUGAGAUCAUCAUGGUGACUUGCAAGCAACUCACUGUACUUUGAUGCCAGACUAACUGAGUUUCUAAUUUAGUGAUAGAAAGUUUCUGGGUAUAGUCAAGUACUUGUCAAGUUAGUAUGUGAGUCA